Molecule: transfer RNA, 71 nt
Filed under: Marmota monax (woodchuck)
Lineage: Eukaryota; Metazoa; Chordata; Mammalia; Rodentia; Sciuridae
Description: tRNA.Ala
Rfam family: tRNA (bases 6-62)
About the family: Transfer RNA (tRNA) molecules are approximately 80 nucleotides in length. Their secondary structure includes four short double-helical elements and three loops (D, anti-codon, and T loops). Further hydrogen bonds mediate the characteristic L-shaped molecular structure. tRNAs have two regions of fundamental functional importance: the anti-codon, which is responsible for specific mRNA codon recognition, and the 3' end, to which the tRNAs corresponding amino acid is attached (by aminoacyl-tRNA synthetases). tRNAs cope with the degeneracy of the genetic code in two manners: having more than one tRNA (with a specific anti-codon) for a particular amino acid; and 'wobble' base-pairing, i.e. permitting non-standard base-pairing at the 3rd anti-codon position.
Source: RNAcentral
GAGUGUAGCUCAGUGGUAGAGCACUUGCCUAGCAUGCCUGAGGCCCUGGGUUUGUUUCCCAGAACCACCCA